Molecule: ribosomal RNA, 861 nt
Filed under: uncultured archaeon
Lineage: Archaea
Description: bacterial SSU rRNA
Rfam family: Archaeal small subunit ribosomal RNA
Source: RNAcentral
UCUAAAGCUUAGGGAAUAAGAGCUGGGUAAGACGGGUGCCAGCCGCGCGGUAACACCCGCAGCUCGAGUGGUGGUCACUUUUAUUGAGCCUAAAGCGUUCGUSGCCGGUUUUGUAAAUCUCCAGGAAAAUUCUUCUGCUUAACAGAAGACCUUCGUGGAGAGACUGCAGAACUAGGGACCGGGUGAGGUUGAAGGUACUUUCUGGGUAGGGGUAAAAUAAGUUGUAAUCCUGAAAGAACGACCGGUGGGCGAAGGCGUUCAACUAGAACGGAUCCGACGGUGAGGAACGAGGGCUAGGGGAGCAAACCGGAUUAGAUACCGGGUAGUCUUAGCUGUAAACACUGCCCACUUGGUGUUGCAUCUCCUUCAUGGGGAUGCAGUGCCGUAGCGGAAGGUGUUAAGUGGGCCGCUUGGGGAGUAUGGUCGCAAGGCUGAAACUUAAAGAAUUGGCGGGGAGCACCGCAACGGAGGAGCGUGCGGUUUAAUUGGAUUCAACGCCGGAAACUCACCGGGGCGACCUUUGGAUGAGAGUCAACCUGACGAGUUUACUCGAUAGAAGGAGAGGUGGUGCAUGGCCGUCGUCAGCUCGUACCGUAAGGCGUUCACUUAAGUGUGAUAACGAGCGAGACCCCCAUCUUUCAGUUGCCAGCGUACAAGGGAUUGUGCGGGCACUUUGGAGGGACCGCCAGCGCUAAGCUGGAGGAAAGGAGGGGUCGACGGCAGGUCAGUAUGCCCCGAAUCUCCCCGGGCUACACGCGCGCUACAAAGGACAGGACAAAUGAGUUGCGACCUCGAAAGGGAAGCCAACCCUCGAAACCUGUUCGUAAGUGAGGAUUGAGGGCUGUCACUCGCCCUCAUGAA